This 1626-nucleotide long non-coding RNA is filed under the name Solanum lycopersicum (tomato). RNAcentral describes it as "partial TCONS_00150106". Lineage: Eukaryota; Viridiplantae; Streptophyta; Magnoliopsida; Solanales; Solanaceae. The record is from RNAcentral.
GACGAUUUUGAUUUCUCUGAGUUACAAUUUUCUGGUUUAAGAUAAUGCAGGCUACAUUACGUAAAGAUGCCAAUCCAGAGCUUGCCUGUGCUAUUGAUACAUGGAGUCUAGGUUGUACUGUAAUUGAAAUGUUUAGUGGACAGUCCUCUUGGAACGGAUUAGACGGGGUAAGCCGCGUUAACAAACUUUGAGCCUAUUAGUUUGUCACAUGGUAGUAUCAUAGCCAAAGACGCUAUGUUUCUCGGACUCUCCAAAAAUGCUAAUGCACUAUUUUUGAAGGAUCCAACAUACACCCCCACACUGUUUUUGAAGAGUCCGAGAAGCAUAGCUAAGAAGGAACAAGCAAGAAAAAUCAUGGACAAUAUUUUUUUGAUUCCAAAUUUGAUGUAUAAACAAUCAUGUAUUUCAUUUUGUAGGUGAAAGCAAAUCACCACCUGUACUAGAAACGUCAUCUCCGGAAGGAAAGAAUUUUCUUCGGUGCUACUUUCAGAGAAAACCUGCAGAUAGGCCUACAUUUUUUAUGCUACUUGAGCAUCCUUUCUUAAGUAAUACUAAUUUGCAUAAACAUAGUGCUACUGUUUUAGGUUCCUCAGAAGAUUUUUUACGGAUGAAAUGAGAACUGUGGUUUUUAACAUAUCGAACAAGAAUGUACUUUUAAGAAAGUGUAUUUUUUAAAGUGUAGCCUUCCCUACUCAACUGACUCUAUGGCACAGGUAAACAUAGCAAUGUCCAUAGAGUUACAGUGGAGUGACAGUCGGAGCAUGUGGUCUUAUUAGUUUGAGUCAACAGAGGUAAACAAUUGUGGAAUGUUAGUUUAGAAUAUUACUACUGCUCCGUUUCUAGUUUUUGUCCUUUUAUGAUUGUAGAUGUUUUUAGUUUUUUAUUGAUAUAUAUUAUUUUAUGAGAUCUGUACGUUGUUUGAUUUACAUAAUUUCUGAAUAGGAUGUUAAAACAAAUAGACAUAUGAUAAACUAAUAUAAUAUAAAAUGCAUAAUAAUAAGGGUUAUGGGCUAAUUUUGUUUGUUUCUAUGUGAAUGUACCACCAAAUGAUUGUGGCCCUGGAUGAAUUAAAUCACCAUUGCGGAAUUUCAGCUUUCUUAGGGAUCCCUAAGUUCAUACUGAUUUCUGUGGAUGAUAUAGGGGAAGGAAGGUUGACUGCUUUGAGAUCCCAGUAGAUUUGAUUGGAGAACCUCUUGAAAAGUUAUUACGUGCAACAUAGAGAUUCACUAAGCCAUUGAUUGGUAUUAGAUAAUUAGUUUUGAUAAUGUAGUUGCAUGAUUGGAUUGGGUCAUAAUGAUUAGAGUGAAUUAUGUGUUUAGCGAUUGACCGGAGUAGUAAGGAUAAAAUCAAUGUACUCAUGGUGGAGUUAAGUACAUUUGUAUGGCAUAACUAAGCUUUUCCAACCAAAUGAUAUGCAAACAUUUUUUCUUAGCACUGUAAAGGUUCUCCAUUGAUCUUUUUUCUUAAUUGUUGGCAGCAGUAUGAUUACUUGUAAAUUUAUGUUUGUGUAAAUUAUUAUUGGCUUAAUUAACUUUAUGCUUCAAUAAAAGAGCAUUGUUCCACUGUUUGCAAGAACAUAGGAAGAUAAUUCAAGAAUUGUGGAGUUUCAACCCCGCUACUUUGUUA